RNAcentral lists this ribosomal RNA (440 nucleotides) under uncultured bacterium. Its description in RNAcentral is "bacterial SSU rRNA". It matches the Rfam family "Bacterial small subunit ribosomal RNA", at positions 338 to 770 of the family's 1533-position model. The record is from RNAcentral.
CCUACGGGGGGCAGCAGUGGGGAAUUUUGGACAAUGGGCGCAAGCCUGAUCCAGCCAUGCCGCGUGUCUGAAGAAGGCCUUCGGGUUGUAAAGGACUUUUGUCAGGGAAGAAAAGGGCGGGGUUAAUACCCCUGUCUGAUGACGGUACCUGAAGAAUAAGCACCGGCUAACUACGUGCCAGCAGCCGCGGUAAUACGUAGGGUGCGAGCGUUAAUCGGAAUUACUGGGCGUAAAGCGGGCGCAGACGGUUACUUAAGCAGGAUGUGAAAUCCCCGGGCUCAACCUGGGAACUGCGUUCUGAACUGGGUGACUAGAGUGUGUCAGAGGGAGGUAGAAUUCCACGUGUAGCAGUGAAAUGCGUAGAGAUGUGGAGGAAUACCGAUGGCGAAGGCAGCCUCCUGGGAUAACACUGACGUUCAUGCCCGAAAGCGUGGGUAGCA